AGGAAGAAGAAGAAGAAGAAGAAAGAAGAAGAAGGAGAAGAAGGAGGAGAAGAAGAAGAAGGGGUAUUUGGGUUUGGGUUUAGUGAGGGUUAAUUUUGUCAAUUCACGUGUCCCAAAUGGCUAUUUUGGACGGAAGGACUGCGAAUUUGGACGGAAGAGAAAGUGAGGGACUUAAGUGUUGGGUCGCCAAAAUAGAGGGACAGAAGUGUUAAUUACGUUAAACCUGAGGGACUAAAAAGUAAUUUUCCC
Molecule: long non-coding RNA, 249 nt
Filed under: Manihot esculenta (cassava)
Lineage: Eukaryota; Viridiplantae; Streptophyta; Magnoliopsida; Malpighiales; Euphorbiaceae
Description: long non-coding RNA (MESC_LNC010336)
Source: RNAcentral